RNAcentral lists this ribosomal RNA (492 nucleotides) under uncultured bacterium. Its description in RNAcentral is "partial 16S ribosomal RNA". It matches the Rfam family "Bacterial small subunit ribosomal RNA", at positions 29 to 507 of the family's 1533-position model. The record is from RNAcentral.
AGUGAACGCUGGCGGUAGGCCUAACACAUGCAAGUCGAACGGCAGCACAGUAAGAGCUUGCUCUUACGGGUGGCGAGUGGCGGACGGGUGAGGAAUACAUCGGAAUCUACUUUUUCGUGGGGGAUAACGUAGGGAAACUUACGCUAAUACCGCAUACGACCUACGGGUGAAAGCAGGGGAUCUUCGGACCUUGCGCGAUUGAAUGAGCCGAUGUCGGAUUAGCUAGUUGGCGGGGUAAAGGCCCACCAAGGCGACGAUCCGUAGCUGGUCUGAGAGGAUGAUCAGCCACACUGGAACUGAGACACGGUCCAGACUCCUACGGGAGGCAGCAGUGGGGAAUAUUGGACAAUGGGCGCAAGCCUGAUCCAGCCAUACCGCGUGGGUGAAGAAGGCCUUCGGGUUGUAAAGCCCCUUUGUUGGGAAAGAAAAGCAGCAGGUUAAUACCCCGCUGUUCUGACGGUACCCAAAGAAUAAGUACCGGCUAACUUCGUG